AUACCACAAGCUGGUCACAGUUCAGACCAAGCAGUGCAAGGCACAUCUGGGUGCCAGGCACAGUGGUGCCCCAUGGGGUGGCCCCACUCCUGGCCUGGCUCAUGCCUCCCGUGGGGGCAGCAGAGCAACUGGCUCAGGGCGGGAUGUGGUCAGACCUGGAGGCGGAGUGCUAUGGGUGCCACGCUCCUUCCCAGGCCCUCACCCCUCCUUCUCCACCCAGGAGUCGUUCACGCCUACUGAGGAGCAUGUGUUGGUGGUGCGCCUGCUGCUGAAGCACCUGCACGCCUUUGCCAACAGCCUGAAGCCAGAGCAGGCCUCACCCUCCGCCCACUCCCACGCCACCAGCCCCCUGGAGGAGUUCAAACGGGCUGCUGUCCCGAGGUUCGUCCAGCAGAAACUCUACCUCUUCUUGCAGCAUUGCUUUGGCCACUGGCCCCUGGACGCAUCGUUCAGAGCUGUCCUGGAGAUGUGGCUGAGCUACCUGCAGCCGUGGCGGUACGCGCCUGACAAGCAGGCUCCGGGCAGCGACUCCCAGCCCCGGUGUGUG
Molecule: long non-coding RNA, 547 nt
Filed under: Homo sapiens (human)
Lineage: Eukaryota; Metazoa; Chordata; Mammalia; Primates; Hominidae
Description: sphingomyelin phosphodiesterase 4 (ENSG00000292130.1)
Source: RNAcentral